Molecule: ribosomal RNA, 337 nt
Filed under: uncultured bacterium
Lineage: Bacteria
Description: bacterial SSU rRNA
Rfam family: Bacterial small subunit ribosomal RNA
Source: RNAcentral
GAUGAACGCUAGCGGCAGGCUUAAUACAUGCAAGUCGAGGGGGCAGCGGGGUAGCAAUACCGCCGGCGACCGGCAAACGGGUGCGGAACACGUACAGAACCUCCCUCCAAGUGGUGAAUAGCCUUCCGAAAGGAGAUUAAUACACCGUAAUAUUAAAGAGUGGCAUCACUUUCUAAUUAUAGAUUUAUCGCUUAGAGAUGGCUGUGCGGCUGAUUAGGUAGUUGGCGGGGUAAAGCCCACCAAGCCUGCGAUCAGUAACUGGUGUGAGAGCACGACCAGUCACACGGGCACUGAGACGACGGGCCCGACUCCGUACGGGGGGCAGCAGUAAGGAAUA